CGUCGGCUCUGGAACGUCCUCUCCGUAGAGCUUAGCCAUGCUCCCUCCUCAGUGUUUAAAAAAACAAACCAACUAAAAACACAUCUUUUAAAAGAGGCUUUUAAAAGUUUCACCUGUUGUUUAUCUCUGAGAAGGCUGCCGUGCCAUUGACUUUAUAUGACAAAUACGUGUAUUUCCUGCCUUCUGGCAGAGAUUCACGGGAAUGUGUAAGAUGAUCUCAGCCCCUGUUCCUGCACUUCUUAAGGAUUUUCGAGAGGGCUCGGAAAGAGGCGGCACAGACAGAAUGCUGCAGCAUCACAGAAUGUACAGUUUGACCUUUCUGAUGCAACCUUUUGCUGACUUAUAAGAGUCAGCUUGCGAUCUUCUUUCUCCAUCCAACACACAACCUUUAUAUCUGUGUAAAUACUACAAAGACACACCGCUAGUCUGCAGUGGCAGGAGGGCAGGAUUUAAGGUACUGGCAGUGGUCCGUGGAGGUGUGUUUGAACUUUUCAGCACUUGGAGAAGUGGAACAAUCAGAGGCAGCCUAAUACUGGCAAUGAAAUUGACAUAGAAAUUAGCUCCAACUGUUAACGAUUGGUUCAAGAGUGUGAAAUGUUGCCCUUAUGUCAAAAUUAACUUACUACAAGAAAGCAGUAAAAGGAAUAAACAGGAUAAAUGUGUUGAAAAGUGGAAUUUCCUUAUACAAUACUGGAAAAAUAACUUUGUGGGUGUGAAGCCUCUGUUUGUAUGAUUAUAUUCUCCUUAAUAUGAUAGUUGAAGGGGUUAAGAUGCAACCGGAGAAUAUACAUUGGAUGCUCAUUAUUUAAAGUAUUUUCCUUUACUGUG
Molecule: long non-coding RNA, 828 nt
Organism: Hemicordylus capensis (graceful crag lizard)
Lineage: Eukaryota; Metazoa; Chordata; Lepidosauria; Squamata; Cordylidae
Exons: 2
Source: RefSeq, a predicted model, not a curated record